GUGAAUAAUAACUUCAGUGGGGUUGGGUUUAUAUGAGACUUUUUUUUGUUAUACUUGGUUUGUUUUUGUCGCUUUUUACAGAUCCAGACUAACACGGCUACCCCUCUGAUACUUGAAGAAAUGUAGUGACAAAGGGAGAUGGUUACUUCCUGUCUGACAUGGAGAGAUGAGUGUUAUGGAAGAUACUGGCCUGAGAGAGAAGCUGAUGCCAGAGGAUGCUCCAGGAAUGGAAGCAGGUGCAGCAGCGGAGCUUUAUAUAAUAGGAAGGCACAGAUUCUGAAUGACAGAUGCAAAUUUGUGGAGGGUGCUAGCCAACGUAUAAGUCUGCUAAUGCUUCUCCCCAGGGAAAGAAGUUCUAC
Molecule: long non-coding RNA, 359 nt
Filed under: Chrysemys picta bellii (western painted turtle)
Lineage: Eukaryota; Metazoa; Chordata; Testudines; Emydidae
Description: lncRNA (ENSCPBG00000002179.1)
Source: RNAcentral